CAACCCACUCUCUGUGCUAUGACUUCAUUACUCUUUCCCAGCCCAGCCCUGGGCAAGCCCCUUACGAAGUCUCAGGCUACCUGGAUGACCACCCUUUCUUAUGAUGCUGCAAGGAGGGCAGGUGGGCAGAGCCCCGUGCAUCCUGGGCUCAGGCCAGGGACCCAAGAGCUUGGGAGAAGCUGGUUCUCAGACUGAAGGCCAGAGCCCAGCACCUUGUCACCAUCCCGGGGAGCAUCAUGGCACACAACAACCAGAGCCAAGAGUCACACACCCUCCAGACCACGGUUGUCUGUGAGUUGCUGGGGAACCGGAGCAGCUGGGGACACUGGCACUACAACUGUGAUGGCCAGGACUCCCUUCUUAGCACACUUGAGUCUUUCAACUCCAGCAAAAGCCAGCCAGAACCAAGCAUAGCUGCAGAAGGAGAGAAGGGAAGGAAACAAUCCUUCCUGACCUAGAGCUGCGUCUACCCUCUCCGGAAACACCUGAAAGCUGGGGUGGGACCACGGCCCACCGUAGGUGUGAUAGAUUGACAGGCCUCGGAAGUCAAAAUAAGUGGUUUCCUAGACCGGGUCGAGAGCAAGUCUCUAUUGGUCCCAACUGAGUUUUUUCAGCUGGUUUUUCAACCAAACAGCACCUCAUCUCCCAGUGAGGGGAAGGGAAGGCUGGGCUGAGAGCAGCAAGGCUGCUCAUCUCACCUCUCCCCACCCAGCCAUGCCAGCCGCCUCACCUGGUGGGGAGAGGUGGGCCUCACCUGGGUCCCCUGGCAGUGCUCUGUGAAGGGUCUUGACAUUGCACUGUAAUAAUAAAGGUGUGUGUGAAGUAUC
RNAcentral lists this small RNA (827 nucleotides) under Homo sapiens (human). RNAcentral's name for it is "psoriasis susceptibility 1 candidate 3, non-protein coding RNA". Lineage: Eukaryota; Metazoa; Chordata; Mammalia; Primates; Hominidae. The record is from RNAcentral.